RNAcentral lists this transfer RNA (87 nucleotides) under Candidatus Peregrinibacteria bacterium. RNAcentral's name for it is "tRNA-Leu". It matches the Rfam family "tRNA". From Rfam's summary of the family: Transfer RNA (tRNA) molecules are approximately 80 nucleotides in length. Their secondary structure includes four short double-helical elements and three loops (D, anti-codon, and T loops). Further hydrogen bonds mediate the characteristic L-shaped molecular structure. tRNAs have two regions of fundamental functional importance: the anti-codon, which is responsible for specific mRNA codon recognition, and the 3' end, to which the tRNAs corresponding amino acid is attached (by aminoacyl-tRNA synthetases). tRNAs cope with the degeneracy of the genetic code in two manners: having more than one tRNA (with a specific anti-codon) for a particular amino acid; and 'wobble' base-pairing, i.e. permitting non-standard base-pairing at the 3rd anti-codon position. Lineage: Bacteria; Candidatus Peregrinibacteriota. The record is from RNAcentral.
GCCCAGGUGGUGGAAUUGGUAGACACGCAGCGUUCAGGGCGCUGUGCUCUCCGGAGCGUGGAGGUUCAAAUCCUCUCCUGGGCACCA